This 330-nucleotide ribosomal RNA is filed under the name uncultured eukaryote. RNAcentral's name for it is "partial 18S ribosomal RNA". It matches the Rfam family "Eukaryotic small subunit ribosomal RNA", at positions 1470 to 1796 of the family's 1831-position model. The record is from RNAcentral.
CCCUUAGAUGUCCGGGGCUGCACGCGCGCUACACUGUAGAAAGCAGCGUGCUUUAAAACCUUUCCUGAAAAGGAUGGGUAACCCCAGCAAAAUUCUACGUGCUUGGGAUAGAGAUUUGCAAUUUUCUCUCUUGUACGAGGAAUUCCCAGUAAGUGCGAGUCAUCAGCUCGCGUUGAUUACGUCCCUGCCCUUUGUACACACCGCCCGUCGCUACUACCGAUUGGGAAAAUUUUAGAGAGUCCUGGACUGAUGAUUGUUCGGCUUCACGGCCUUACUUUCGUCGGGAAAGAAUUCGAUAAUAUUUUUCUAGAGGAAGUAAAAGUCGUAACA